This 213-nucleotide ribosomal RNA is filed under the name uncultured bacterium. RNAcentral describes it as "partial 16S ribosomal RNA". It matches the Rfam family "Bacterial small subunit ribosomal RNA", at positions 1288 to 1500 of the family's 1533-position model. The record is from RNAcentral.
UCAGUUCGGAUUGUAGUCUGCAACUCGACUACAUGAAGCUGGAAUCGCUAGUAAUCGCAAGUCAGCAUGUUGCGGUGAAUCCGUUCCCGGGUCUUGUACACACCGCCCGUCACACCAUGGGAGUUGGAAACGCCCGAAGUCAGUGACCGAACCGAAAGGGAGGAGCUGCCGAAGGCGGGUCGAAUAACUGGGGUGAAGUCGUAACAAGGUAGC